UGUGCCAGCAGCCGCGGUAAUUCCAGCUCCAAUAGCGUAUAUUAAAGUUGUUGCAGUUAAAAAGCUCGUAGUUGAACCUUGGGUCUGGCUGGCCGGUCCGCCUCACCGCGAGUACUGGUCCGGCUGGACCUUUCCUUCUGGGGAACCUCAUGGCCUUCACUGGCUGUGGGGGGAACCAGGACUUUUACUGUGAAAAAAUUAGAGUGUUCAAAGCAGGCCUUUGCUCGAAUACAUUAGCAUGGAAUAAUAGAAUAGGACGUGCGGUUCUAUUUUGUUGGUUUCUAGGACCGCCGUAAUGAUUAAUAGGGAUAGUCGGGGGCGUCAGUAUUCAGCUGUCAGAGGUGAAAUUCUUGGAUUUGCUGAAGACUAACUACUGCGAAAGCAUUCGCCAAGGAUGUUUUCAUUAAUCAGGGAACGAAAGUUAGGGGAUCGAAGACGAUCAGAUACCGUCGUAGUCUUAACCAUAAACUAUGCCGACUAGGGAUCGGACGGGAUUCUAUUAUGACCCGUUCGGCACCUUACGAGAAAUCAAAGUUUUUGGGUUCUGGGGGGAGUAUGGUCGCAAGGCUGAAACUUAAAGAAAUUGACGGAAGGGCACCACAAGGCGUGGAGCCUGCGGCUUAAUUUGACUCAACACGGGGAAACUCACCAGGUCCAGACAAAAUAAGGAUUGACAGAUUGAGAGCUCUUUCUUGAUCUUUUGGAUGGUGGUGCAUGGCCGUUCUUAGUUGGUGGAGUGAUUUGUCUGCUUAAUUGCGAUAACGAACGAGACCUCGGCCCUUAAAUAGCCCGGUCCGCAUUUGCGGGCCGCUGG
This 814-nucleotide ribosomal RNA is filed under the name uncultured fungus. RNAcentral's name for it is "SSU rRNA". It matches the Rfam family "Eukaryotic small subunit ribosomal RNA", at positions 563 to 1384 of the family's 1831-position model. Lineage: Eukaryota; Fungi. The record is from RNAcentral.